GCGGGGAGCGGCUCUGGAGACCUGCGAGGAGGCAGGUCAGGUGCAGAGUUCACAGGGCAGGGGGCAGGAGGAGGGUGAGCCACAGGGAGGGGGAUGGGUGUGGGGGCCUGCUUGUUACUGUUGGGGUUGGGGAAGGUGAGUGGGGGGGGGGCAGAGUCUGGGCCGGGGGCCUGCACAGGGGCACCACAGUGACUUGUGAGGCUGGGGCUUGUUCCAUGAGGAGGGGACGAGGAGGGGACCCAGUGUCACCUGCGUGUGGGGAGAUGACCAUGCCAGGAUCCCUGUUGGGCAGUCAUACCCCUGGGUGAACAGGAGAGCACCACGGUGCUGGUGUGGCCAGCCAGGCAGUGGAGAUGGGGCACAGGUCAGAGCCAGGGCCUGGGUGGGGAGGAGGUCGGGCCUCUGAGCUGCUGAGACACCAGGAGGGGCGGCCACACAUAGGGCAGGUGGGUGAGGGGCAGCAAGGGUCCUGGCUUACAUUUUAGGGUGGGAGAGACUUGGCCCCUCUGUGGAUGCGCCCCAGGGUGGGACAUUGCAAAGGAGACUGUGUCCUUAGAGCCCCUGCUGGUCACAGGCAUGUGCUGCUGGGGAGGGGGACAGGUGGCCACCACAGCCGCCUGGACGUCCACUCUGGUCUAGUCCGCGUGCUUGGGAGACCUAGGGAACGGCAAGCUCUGGGGCCAGGCAGAACCCGGUCCCCUCGAGUGGGGUUGGCCCGCGUGGGGCCUGAGAGGCUGGAAGACAAUGGGGCCCACAGGGGGUGGUGGCCUCUGGACUUUGUCUAAGUGCCUGGUUGACGCAGUGUGCCCUGGAGGAUCCCGGGAGUUAGCAUGUACACGGUGGCCCUGAGACCCCACCCCUCAGGGUGCAGAGUUCGUGUGGUGCCACUGGAGACCCCACCCGUCGGGGAGCAGAGUGCACACGGUGCUCCUGGAGACCCCAGCCUGGGCUGGGCAGAGCCCUGGUGGUGGGAAGUGCCCUGGCUCUUGGUAGGCGGGCGUAGCUGUGUUAAGUCAUUCUUGAUAGCAUUUCUCCCCAAAGGAAUCCAGAAGGAUUUCGCCGAAGAAUGGAAGUUCUGUGCCUGUGAAUGAGUGAGCUCUCCUCGUGGGUUGUGAGAGUCAGCAUCGCCCCUGCCUCGGUCUGCCACUCCACGCACUUCUUAGGUGUGCAGCGCCUCCAGGAUGAUGGCGAAUGGGGCCGGGUGAGCCAGGUUAAGGCACAGUCCUACAGGUGCAGGGGAGACCUAGGAUGGGGGGGGGGGUCUGUUCCUUCUGCCUCGGGGCUGGGCCUGCAGCUGGGAAGAGGCAGCAGCUGAGGGAUGAGGAGGGGACUGCAACCUGUGUUCAGGUCUCACAUUCACCCAUCUGUGCUGCUUCCAUCAUGAGCCACUGUGGACUUGUGGGAAUCCUGACGGCAAAACUGGUCACCCAGGAAGCUUACAGCUGACACGGGAGCCCACUGGCAUGUCCCCAGUGCCUCUUCCCACUGAGAGACGCCACAUAUGCCCGUCUUUGGGGUUCUAUUUGGGGGAUGGGGUAAUCUUGGCCUGGGUCCACCUCCCUGGUC
Molecule: long non-coding RNA, 1566 nt
Organism: Oryctolagus cuniculus (rabbit)
Lineage: Eukaryota; Metazoa; Chordata; Mammalia; Lagomorpha; Leporidae
Source: Ensembl